GCUUGCCCAUGCCCCCGCCGCUGGUGCCGCUCGCCCACGCCCCCGCCGGUGUCGCCGCUAGAUACUGAACCGGCAGUCCUUGGUGAGUGAGAAAAACGGUUCGAGAUAUAUUUUUUUGGGUUGCAGGAUCGAGCGACGGCUCUAUUGAUCCGAUCGGGAGAAGGCGGCGGCGACAUGGCUCCGGGAGGCGGGGAACGGCGUGGAAACAACGGAUGACGAGGCGAGGCAGAUCAGAUCAGGAUUGAGCGUGGUGGUGCGUAGUGGAGGCCGCCGGCGGCGGUGCUCCACGGCCAUGGCGGCUCGGCCUCGUGGGAAUAAGAAACGAGGGAGAGAGAGGAGGUGAGAUGGAGAGAAGAGAAGCAGAGGAGGGCGACACGGAUUCCUUCUUCUGGUCCAGCGGCGUCUCCGGUCGGCUGAUCCAGGUCAACUAUUGAUUGAUUUCCAAUGUGCUCCUGGCCUCCCAAUUCUUUGUGUCAUGCAACGGCUCUCCGCGGAACUGGAGUACUGUAUGUUGCAAACUUAAAGUCCAAAGGAAAUUCAUCCUGUUACAAGGGCAUAACCCACUGGGUAAACAAGAGAAUCAAGAAGGAAGAACUUUUGUGCUCGUAUCGAACGUCGUGAUGGGUUGACCUCCUCCAGUUCUGAUGAAUUAUUGAUCUUGUUACAAGGGUAUAACCCACUGGGUAAAGAAGAGAAUCAAGAAGGAAGAACUUUUGUGCUCUCUCUGUGAGGUGGACUGUAGCGUUGAGAGUGUGAGCCUACGAGGAUAGUGGAGCGCAACCUGUUAUAGCUAAAAGGUGAAGCCUGGGAGGUGGUGUUCCUGCUCAUCGUCGCCAAAUGUCAAUGACCAGACUCCUCCAUCUCCUGGAACAACUCCACGGCCUCCCUAUCAAGUCCUCUCCUACAAUAGGCUCCAAUCAAGCUAUAUUGUUAGGUUACACCUGGUGGCACUCAAUAAUAUAAGCAUACAUUUGAAGAGUUUAUAAAUUUUGUACAGAGGAGCGGAGAUGAUCUAUUUGAUAUUCCAACAUUUACCAAGUAGGUUCCAUUUGUAAAUGUUUACCAAUUAGUAGGUCAUUUUUUUGUACUGUGUUUGGAGUCAUAAUAGAGUGAUAAGGUAAAAGAUUCAUUUUAUACAAUUAUUAUGUAUGAUUAUUUU
Long non-coding RNA from Hordeum vulgare subsp. vulgare (domesticated barley), 1159 nucleotides. RefSeq lists it as uncharacterized. The transcript has 6 exons. Lineage: Eukaryota; Viridiplantae; Streptophyta; Magnoliopsida; Poales; Poaceae. The record is from RefSeq and is a predicted model, not a curated record.